AUACGGGGCUGGGCGUGGGGCGGCUGGGCCCGGGGCGGGCAGGGGGCGCGAGGGUGCCCGCGGCCGCAGCUGAAGUUGGACCGAGAGCCGGCGACGACCCCGCGCCGGGGUCGCAGGGUACCGAUGUGCGGAGUUCCUGUUGCCAAGCCGAAGGUGGCCCUGGGCAGGCACAGGUGUUGUGGUCAUAUCUUGAACCAACAGGACCAUCCUCCUGAGGGCCACCUCUGGGGACUUCCUCCUGGAAGAGAGUGACGGAUUUGGUGCUUCUGUGUGUUUCUGCUGCUUCAGUGGGGCCACUGCAGGAAUCGGCGCAUGGACCCUCCAGCGGCCUGUCUGCUGAGCCUGCCUUCUGAAGUCCACUGUGAAAAUCAGGACCAGGGCGAGUCCGAGCCUACAGGCCCUGUCCCCCCUCCCCAGGUCUGCAGGAGUUGAGGGCUGCACCCGCUCGCUGGAGAGGGAGAGGCCAGAUUUAGUGGACGCCUGGCAUGGACUCGAACUGGUCUUUAGAAGCUCCCUGUCCUGACGGGGUUGCCUGUCACCACUGCGUACCGAGGCUUGGCAGGACCUGCACCUGGGAAAGGCUGUGUGUGGCCUUGGGGUCCACACCUGCAGAGCUGACUUACUGCCAGACAGUGACUUACUGUGGGCCACGCUCAGUGAACCGGGGUGUCCUCAGCUGGCCCUACAGAGCACUUCUGUGCUGGGGAUGAGUAGGAACUCUGGGCGAGAAGGGCGCCAGCACUGCCCCUCGAUACAGCCUGGCUCUGCCCUCUGCCCAUACUUAUACCAGGUGGGAUCUCUGCCCUGCAUCGCCUGGGGAUUGGCUGGACUUGGGUCCGCCCUGCUGUGGAACUGUAUGAUUUUAGGGAGCCCAGCCUUUCCUCACGUCAGCACAGUUCACAAUAUAGUUUUCAAAGUAUAGUUUAAAACUCAAAAGUAAACUUUUCAGCAACUCAAAGGUUUGCUGAGUGAUCUGAAGCAUUCUGGCAACUUUUUGGGGCCAUGGGAUUUGGUUCACCUGAAACAGCCAGUGAGACGCCGGGCGCGGUGGCUCACGCCCGUAAUCCCAGUGCUUCAGGAGGCGGAGGCAGGUGAUCGAUCACUUGAGAUCAGGAGUUCAAGACCAGCCUGGGCAACGUGGCGAAACCCCGUCUCUACUAAAAAUACAAAAAUUAGCUGGGCAUGGUGGUGGGCACCUGUAAUCCCAGCUACUUGGAAGGCUGAGGCAAGAGAAUCACUUGAACCUGGGAGGUGAAGAUUGCAGCGAGACAAGAUUGUGCCACUGCACUCCAGUCUGAGUGGCAAGAGAGACUCUGUCUCAAAAAAUAUAAAAUGAAACAGCCAGUGAGGAGGAAGGCUCCCCGCCUUCCCCACGCCGGAACACAGCGGCUGCUGGGACACCCUCUUGGUGGGGAAGAAGGCCGGUUAGCUUCAUCAGAGCUAGCAGCAGCAGACCAGGGACGGGCACCUAGGCAGUGGCCUCAAAAGGAACAGGUGUUCCUCAAAAACACAAAGGAACAGCGCGUUGCGUGCUCUGCCAACUCCAUGCCUGCUUCCCAUUGGGGGGCUGGGGCAUGUGGGGCAGAGCUCAUGACCCCCGGGAGGACAUGGGGGUGGGCUCCGGAUGGCACCUGGUAUUGCCCCCUGCUGGCCUGUGUGACGGUGUGGAGGGCUGGUCACAGAGGUACAACCAUCCCUCCAGAAUGUCAGUGGGGGCUGUGGAUGGAGGAGUAGGCCCCUCAGACCCCAGGUCUGCUGCCCAGGCAGAACUCACUUGGCCUAUGCAUUCCAGGCUCCACCCCUUGUGCCCCUGGGCUUAGCUCCAUCUGGGGCCACAGGUCAGGCAGGUCCAGGCCCCCAAGGACCUCCCAGGGAUAGGCGACUGUGAGCCGGGCAGACAGGAGUGAGGUCAGGUGGGGGUUCCGGCUUGCUGACGCCAGCGUUUGGAGGCUUCCGCUGCUGCCUGGCCUCCCUGCAUUCCCUGUUCCCUGCCUCAGGCAGGAAAUAACCAAGCUGAGUUGCACCUGCACAGCAGUGAGCUCCUGGUGGUCCUGGCCUCUAGGAAGCCCUGUGGAUGGCUUCCCUGCCCAAGUUCAGGACUUCCUCGUUCCCUUUGUCUGCUCCAGAGAAAGGGGGCAGCACCAGACCCAGAUCCAGGGCCACCCAAGAGAAAGCUGAGUCCAUCCCAAACUUGCCCACUCUCAGAGCACAAAGACCCCAUGAUCUAGGGCAAGCUUGUCCAACUGUCGGCCCAUGGAGUGGCUUUGAAUGCAGCCCAACGCAAAUCUAAACUUUCUUAAACAUUG
This is a long non-coding RNA of Cercocebus atys (sooty mangabey), 2306 nucleotides long. RefSeq lists it as uncharacterized. The transcript has 2 exons. The record is from RefSeq and is a predicted model, not a curated record. Lineage: Eukaryota; Metazoa; Chordata; Mammalia; Primates; Cercopithecidae.